RNAcentral lists this ribosomal RNA (998 nucleotides) under Metaculus rapistri. RNAcentral describes it as "eukaryotic LSU rRNA". It matches the Rfam family "Eukaryotic large subunit ribosomal RNA", at positions 56 to 664 of the family's 3401-position model. The record is from RNAcentral. Lineage: Eukaryota; Metazoa; Arthropoda; Arachnida; Trombidiformes; Eriophyidae.
GAAAAGAAAGCAAAAGCGAUUCCCCAAGUAACGGCGAGUGAACAGGGAUAAGCCUAGCGCUAAGGCUCGACAGGAUGGCGUCUUCGGGCGUCGUCUUUACCGAUAAGGCUGUCGAGCGGUGCAGCGUUACAAACCGCGAUGUUUAGUGUGCCAUUGGUGGUAAUUGAAAGAUUGCCACUCCUAGCCUAGCAUGCAAGUUCCAUUGACUUGGACUAAUUGUAAAUGAUUGCGCGUUCGGGGCAACUUGGGCGUGCGAUUGAGCCAGAGCGGGUGUAAGCCCCAUACCGUGCAGGCAUUGGCAUCACGAAUUGUGGAGGGCGUGUAAAAGCGUCCAUUUGUUAGAGUCGAGUUGCUUGAGAGUGCAACUUAAAGUGCGAGGUAAACUACUCGUAAGGCUAUGCAUAAUACGGCUACGACACCGAUAGCAAACAAGUACCGUGAGGGAAAGUUGAAAUAGAACUUUGCAGAGAGAGUUAACAGGGCGUGAAACCGUUAAUUGGCAAACGAAUCGGAGCCACGAAGUCGUUUCGUCGUUGAGUCGGGGCUGAGUUCAGCGCGUGUCGAGAGGCGCGCGUGUAUUCUUGGUCUGGCCAACUUUGUAAGCGUACACUGCAACUAGUUAGACGAUUGGCCAUGGGCACAGCUGGCAAGCCGAGCAAUCGGCUCGUCUGCGAUGCAUUUGUUUACUCGUGUUAGUAGUGGCGCGGCAGUGCUUCGGCGCUGUUGUGUUGCUUGGCGCGUUGUAAGUGAACUAUGGCCAAAUACUGACUAGUGAAAUGAAAAUCGUCCACUGGACGUUAGAGAAAAUGCGGCUAGUUGGACAAGUUCCUACACGUUCAACUGUUUGGUCUAAGCUCGGCGCUUUUGAAUUUAGACUUGCUAGCUACCAGUGGGGCAACUCCUGGUGCUAGUAUAGCUUCUAUCUAAUCGGGCGUUGACUUGGCCUAGCAUUGUUUGAGCGCGAACCGAUUGGGCGCUUGUUCAAACUAGUUCGUAAU